ACUGCUCAGUAACACGUAGCUAACCUACCCUAAAGCCGGCACUAACCUCGGGAAACUGAGGCUAUUGGCCGAUAAGAGAUGUUUUCUGGAAUGAUUUAUCUCUGAAAAUCUAGCGUUAGGAUGGGGCUGCGGCUGAUUAGGUUGUUGGCGGGGUAAUGGCCCACCAAGCCGAUGAUCAGUAAGGGCUCUUAGCGGAGAGGCCCUGAGAGGGAGUCUGAGACACUACUCCCAGCCCUACGGGGUGCAGCAGUCGGGAAAAUUCUGCAAUGCGCGAGAGCGUGACAGAGCAAGCCAAAGUGCUUUUCCGUUUUGGAAAAGCUUUUGUGAAAUGUAAAUAGUCUCACGAAUAAGGACUGGGUAAGACUGGUGCCAGCCGCCGCGGUAAUCCCAGCAGUCCAAGUCGCAGCCACAUUUAUUGGGUCUAAAACAUCCGUAGCUCGCUAAGUAAGUUUCUUGUGAAAUCUGGCCUCUUAAGGGUCGGGCGGGCAAGAAAUACUGCUUAGCUAGAGACCGGGAGACGUAAGGAGUACUUACAAGGUAGCGGUAAAAUGCGUUGAUCUUGUAGGGACUAACGACAGCGAAGGCACCUUACGAGAACGGAUCUGACAGUGAGGGAUGAAGGCUAGGGGCGCAAAGUGGAUUAGAUACCCAUGUAGUCCUAGCAGUAAACCCUGCACACUAAACAUUGGGACCUCCUCGAGAGGUUUCAGUGCUGUAGCGAAGGCGAAGAGUGUGCUACCUGGGGAAGUAUAGUCGCAAGACCGAAACUUAAAGGAAUUGGCGGGGGAGCA
This 791-nucleotide ribosomal RNA is filed under the name uncultured archaeon. RNAcentral's name for it is "bacterial SSU rRNA". It matches the Rfam family "Archaeal small subunit ribosomal RNA", at positions 85 to 878 of the family's 1478-position model. The record is from RNAcentral.